GAAAGGUUUACCGCUCCAGGAGGAGGGCGCGGNCUAUUAGCUAGUUGGUAAGGUAACGGCUUACCAAGGCGAUGAUGGGUAGCUGGUCUGAGAGGAUGAUCAGCCACAAUGGGACUGAGAUACGGCCCAUACCCCUACGGGGGGCAGCAGUGGGGAAUAUUGCGCAAUGGACGAAAGUCUGACGCAGCGAUCUCGCGUGGAGGAUGAAGCAUUACGGUGUGUAAACUCCUUUUUUGGAGGAAGACGACUGACGGUACUCCAAGAAUAAGGGACGGCUAACUACGUGCCAGCAGCCGCGGUAAUACGUAGGUCCCAAGCGUUAUCCGGAUUUACUGGGCGUAAAGCGUCCGUCGCCGGUUUUGUAAGUCUGUAUUCAAAUACCGAAGCUCAACUUCGGAAAGGGUGCAGAUACUGCAUUACUAGAGAAAAAUAGAGGUUAGUAGAAUUUCCGGUGGAGGAGUGAAAUCCGUUGAUAUCGGAAGGAAUACCAAAAGCGAAGGCAGCUAACUAUAUUUUUUCUGACGGUCAGGGACGAAAGCUUGGGUAGCGAACGGGAUUAGAUACCCCGGUAGUCCAAGCCGUAAAUGAUGCUCGCUAGGUGUGUUCGUACUUCGAGUAUGAGCGUGCCGUAAGCUAACGCGUUAAGCGAGCCGCCUGAGUAGUAUAGUCGCAAGGCUGAAACUCAAAGGGAUAGGCGGGGGAACACACAAGCAGUGGAUUGCCUCGAUUAGUUUGAUAAUAAGCAAAGAAUCUUACCAGGGCUUGACAUCCUCGGAAUCCUAUCGAAAGACUGGAGUGCCCCGCUCUGCGGGGAAUCGAGUGACAGGUGCUGCAUGGCCGUCGUCAGCUCGUGCCGCAAGGUGUCUGGUUAAGUCCAGAAACGAGCGCAACCCUCGUCGCUAGUU
RNAcentral lists this ribosomal RNA (905 nucleotides) under uncultured organism. RNAcentral's name for it is "bacterial SSU rRNA". It matches the Rfam family "Bacterial small subunit ribosomal RNA", at positions 202 to 1116 of the family's 1533-position model. The record is from RNAcentral.